UAUAUAACUGUUCUAUUCACAG
MicroRNA from Caenorhabditis elegans, 22 nucleotides. The record is from Ensembl. Lineage: Eukaryota; Metazoa; Nematoda; Chromadorea; Rhabditida; Rhabditidae.